GACGAACCGUCCAAACGUUAUUCGGAAUCACUGGGCUUACAGAGUUCGUAGGCGGUCUGGAAAGUUGGGUGUGAAAUCCCUCGGUUCAACCGAGGAACUGCGCUUGAAACUACCAGACUCGAGGGAGAUAGAGGAAAGCGGAACUGAUGGUGGAGCGGUGAAAUGCGUUGAUAUCAUCAGGAACACCGGUGGCGAAGGCGGCUUUCUGGGUCUUACCUGACGCUGAGGAACGAAAGCUAGGGGAGCGAACGGG
Molecule: ribosomal RNA, 253 nt
Filed under: uncultured bacterium
Lineage: Bacteria
Description: partial 16S ribosomal RNA
Rfam family: Bacterial small subunit ribosomal RNA
Source: RNAcentral